UACGUAGGGUGCGAGCGUUAAUCGGAAUUACUGGGCGUAAAGCGUGCGCAGGCGGUGAUGUAAGACAGUUGUGAAAUCCCCGGGCUCAACCUGGGAAUUGCAUCUGUGACUGCAUCGCUAGAGUACGGUAGAGGGGGAUGGAAUUCCGCGUGUAGCAGUGAAAUGCGUAGAUAUGCGGAGGAACACCGAUGGCGAAGGCAAUCCCCUGGACCUGCACUGACGCUCAUGCACGAAAGCGUGGGGAGCAAACAGG
RNAcentral lists this ribosomal RNA (253 nucleotides) under uncultured bacterium. RNAcentral describes it as "partial 16S ribosomal RNA". It matches the Rfam family "Bacterial small subunit ribosomal RNA", at positions 524 to 776 of the family's 1533-position model. The record is from RNAcentral.